UGGCCAGUGUCACACUUCAACCUUUGGAC
Molecule: non-coding RNA, 29 nt
Filed under: Homo sapiens (human)
Lineage: Eukaryota; Metazoa; Chordata; Mammalia; Primates; Hominidae
Source: RNAcentral